Molecule: ribosomal RNA, 498 nt
Filed under: Peptostreptococcus sp. canine oral taxon 033
Lineage: Bacteria; Bacillati; Bacillota; Clostridia; Peptostreptococcales; Peptostreptococcaceae
Description: bacterial SSU rRNA
Rfam family: Bacterial small subunit ribosomal RNA
Source: RNAcentral
GAGUUUGAUCAUGGCUCAGGAUGAACGCUGGCGGCGUGCCUAACACAUGCAAGUCGAGCGCGGUUGUGCUUAGUAUUGAGUGUUUUAUUGAUAUAAAACAUUGAAUUCUAUGCACAACUGAGCGGCGGACGGGUGAGUAACGCGUGGGUAACCUGCCCUAUACACAUGGAUAACAUACUGAAAAGUUUACUAAUACAUGAUAAAAUAGUUUUUCGGCAUCGAAGAAUUAUCAAAGUGUUAGCGGUAUAGGAUGGACCCGCGUCUGAUUAGCUAGUUGGUGAGAUAACUGCCCACCAAGGCGACGAUCAGCAGCCGACCUGAGAGGGUGAUCGGCCACAUUGGAACUGAGACACGGUCCAAACUCCUACGGGAGGCAGCAGUGGGGAAUAUUGCACAAUGGGCGCAAGCCUGAUGCAGCAAUCGCCGCGUGAACGAUGAAGGUCUUCGGAUCGUAAAGUUCUGUUGCAGGGGAAGAUAAUGANCGUACCCCUGNGAGCC